UUCAUCAUCUUCUUCCUCCUUUUGUUUUCUGUUUUGGUUUUCCUUGCUUCUUAAAAGGCUGACCUCACUGGCCACUAGUAGCGCUCCCACUAUUGCCACACAACCGUUGUUCUCGUAAGAAAAGAAGCUUGAAACUAUCGUGUGUUGAAAGUGCAGCAACCGAAGAAUAUAUUAUAAAAAGAUGUCUGUAUUUUAAGCCUAAGCCUCGGCAACAGGCCAGGCCGCCGCCGGGGCCUGCUGGGUUCGGGCCGAGAAAAAUCUGGCCUGUGCCAGGCCCGAACCAGAUAAGCCGGCCCGGCAGUAGCCCGGCCCGGCCCGACUCCCCGCCCUCGGGCCUCCCUCCCCGCUCUCCUCCCUCUCGGCAGUCCGCCCUGACUCCCUCUCCCUCUCCCUUGUUUCCCUCUGCGCUCCCUCUCUUCUCCCCCUCACCCUCUCCCUCUCCCUCUCCGCUUCCCCUCCCCCUCUCCCUCUCCCUCUUGUAUUCAUACAUUUUUGCAACCAUCGAGCCCUGUAGGGCCCAUAGGUGGGGCCCAGGCAGCGCCAGGGCCUGGCCACCUUUUUUGAAAAAUUCAAGGUGCCCUUAUAAAAGUUUUGAAAAGUAUGUACGUGGUAAUAUUCCAACCCACAUGUACAUGUACGAGUUCCAAGUUUAAUUGGGGAAUGGACUUUUAGAAGGCCAGCAGUGUUGAGCCACCCUCUGCCUGUGUCUUGGGACCCAUAGUUUCUCGGAUUGACUACUGCAAUGAAGGACAUAUCACAAAUUUACUGGGCACCUUUUCAUUGGAAAAAUGGUGGCUCCAACGAACAUCACGAGACUCUGUGCAAGUAAGGAGAUCCUGACCGUUAAUGGUCAGCUUCCGGGACCAACUUUAUAUGUGAGCAAAGGCGACAGGUUGAUAGUGAAUGUCGUAAAUGAAGCUCCUUACCCGGUCACCAUCCACUGGUGAAUGGUGGGUAGGGGAUGUGAUGGCCAUGCUCCAGCAAAAGUUAUUGAAUGGUGGAAGUUUUAACGUAUCCAAUGCCUUCACCAUAAAUGGUCAACCAGGUGACCAACACAAUUGUUCUUCAAAAGGAACAACGAGAUUCGUCUUUGAGCAGGGCAAAAGCUACCUGCUUCGAAUCGUAAAUGGUGCGAUGCUCAGUGGACACUUUUUUGCAAUAGCAAAUCAUACCCUUACAGUUGUUGGCAGAGAUGGAUCCUAUCUCAAACCUUUUCAAAGAGACUUUCUCCUUCUAACCCCAGGCCAAACCAUGGAUGUCCUUGUGCAUGCCAACAAUCCAAAAGACCUUUAUUAUAUGGUCGUCAGUCCUUAUAUUGCAGCGACUGAAGAAGCCUCGGCAUUUUUUGACAGAACCAUAACCACAGCGAUAGUUGAAAUAAAAGGAAGUAAGAUAAUGAAAUAACAAUGCAUGUAUAUACCAUAGAUGAUAAAACAAAUGGAUAUUUGAUAAUAAAAUAAUGACUUUAUAGUGUGGAUGAUAAACAGAAGGAUAUGAGAUAACAUCCUUUUGUUUACCUUCUUCAGUACAUCAUUGUUUUUUCAUUAUCUCAUUUGUUUUUGUUUAUCUUCUACAGGAUGUACAUGCAUUGUUAAUUCAUUAUCUCAUAUCCUUUUAUUUAUCUUCUAUAGUAUAUUUAUGUGUUGUUAUUUCAUUAUCUUAUGUUUAUCUUAUAUAGUAUAUACAUGCGUUGUUAUAUCAUUAUCUCAUAUCCUUUUGUUUCUAUUUUCAACACACAUUGUUAUUUCACUUUUUUAUAUCCAUUUGUUUACCUUCAACUCUAUAUACCAUUGUUAUUUUACUAUAUUAUAUUCACUUGUUUAUCUUCAGCUCUAUAUAGGAUUGUUCUUCUACUAUUUUAUAUUUGUUCAUUUGCUUCUUGUAGAACAACCAUGUCUAUUUCAAUCAAUACGAAGAAUUCUACACCGAUUGUCCAUUGUGCGAUGUUUGUUGGGGUGAAGUCAACUUGUACAUUGGACAAAAUUUGAAGAGCUUAAAAAGAGAUAGAAUGAUAGGUGGGUACGACAUUUUGGCAGAACGAAAAAAGGAUGGGGAACCUGAAGAUGAAGCUGUCAUUGUAGCAUAUCUUAUGUGACCUGAGGUGAAGCAGACCGUGGAAAGGAAGAACGAAGGGGUGAAAGAAAAUGAGGAGGUGGAGGUGGUGGAAGUGAAGGGAUAGGCCACAGAUUUAGAGAAUGCAUGGGAGAAGGAAUUUGAAGAGGAGGAGGUGAUGAAAAUCAAGGAUAGGCUGUAGAGAGGCAAAAUGCAGGGGAGAAGGAAUUUGAGGAGGAGGAGGAGGUAGUAAAAAUGAAGGGACAUGCCACAAAGAUGGAGAAUGCAUGAGAGAUGGAAAUUGAGGAUGAGGAGACGGUGGAAGAGGAGUGAAUCCUAGAGAUGGAGAAUGAAAAUGAGGAGGAUAAUGAAGAUGAGAAUCCAUUGUUGGAUGAACUAGAGGGAUUAGUGUUAGAUGUGCUGACUAUGCCUGCACUAAAAAUUAGGGUUCCUAGGCGAAGGAGAAAACAGUCAACCAAAUUAGAAGUAGUAUAGAUAGUUGGAAAUAAAAAAGCACGAUCAUGUAAUGUCGAUAAAUACAGAUGUUGUCAUUGGCAUUCGGUCAUUGAUUGGUGUGAAGUUCUAUCAAACUUUCAAAAGCAGAGAUUGGCCACAAUGCAAUUAUUGGAGAUGUCGUCUUUUAGCACCAUGGAACUCCAAGGAGGCCCCUUGUAUGUCUUGGCACAGAAGUGGGAUUCUCGAACAAAUACAUUUAUGUUUGAUGGAUUUGAGAAGAUGACCUUAAAAAACAUUAUUAGGUUGUUGCAUCUGAGAACUCAUAGAAAACUUAUGCUCUUGAUGUCCAAGUACAGCUUGAUAGGGAAGAGUAACUAGUUUCUAGGGUUGAUAGAUUUUGUGUUUAAGAAAGUUGUGGCCUUUGGGGAAAGCUGGUAUCAUUAAUUGUUUUAGAGAUAUAUAAUAAAUGGCAACAUGCAACGCAUGAUUCA
Long non-coding RNA from Nymphaea colorata (pocket water lily), 2999 nucleotides. RefSeq lists it as uncharacterized. NCBI's taxonomy places the organism in Eukaryota, Viridiplantae, Streptophyta, Magnoliopsida, Nymphaeales, Nymphaeaceae. The transcript is spliced from 5 exons. The record is from RefSeq and is a predicted model, not a curated record.